AACAGGAUUAGAUACCCUGGUAGUCCACGCCGUAAACGAUGUCGACUUGGAGGUUGUGCCCUUGAGGCGUGGCUUCCGGAGCUAACGCGUUAAGUCGACCGCCUGGGGAGUACGGCCGCAAGGUUAAAACUCAAAUGAAUUGACGGGGGCCCGCACAAGCGGUGGAGCAUGUGGUUUAAUUCGAUGCAACGCGAAGAACCUUACCUACUCUUGACAUCCAGAGAACUUAGCAGAGAUGCUUUGGUGCCUUCGGGAACUCUGAGACAGGUGCUGCAUGGCUGUCGUCAGCUCGUGUUGUGAAAUGUUGGGUUAAGUCCCGCAACGAGCGCAACCCUUAUCCUUUGUUGCCAGCGGUUCGGCCGGGAACUCAAAGGAGACUGCCAGUGAUAAACUGGAGGAAGGUGGGGAUGACGUCAAGUCAUCAUGGCCCUUACGAGUAGGGCUACACCCGUGCUACAAUGGCAUAUACAAAGAGAAGCGACCUCGCGAGAGCAAGCGGACCUCAUAAAGUAUGUCGUAGUCCGGAUUGGAGUCUGCAACUCGACUCCAUGAAGUCGGAAUCGCUAGUAAUCGUGGAUCAGAAUGCCACGGUGAAUACGUUCCCGGGCCUUGUACACACCGCCCGUCACACCAUGGGAGUGGGUUGCAAAAGAAGUAGGUAGCUUAACCUUCGGGAGGGCGCUUACCACUUUGUGAUUCAUGACUGGGGUGAAGUCGUAACAAGGUAACC
Molecule: ribosomal RNA, 730 nt
Filed under: uncultured bacterium
Lineage: Bacteria
Description: bacterial SSU rRNA
Rfam family: Bacterial small subunit ribosomal RNA
Source: RNAcentral